GUGAGGAAUAUUGGUCAAUGGGCGGGAGCCUGAACCAGCCAAGUCGCGUGAAGGAAGAAGGAUCUAUGGUUCGUAAACUUCUUUUGCAGGGGAAUAAAGUGCAGGACGUGUCCUGUUUUGUAUGUACCCUGAGAAUAAGGAUCGGCUAACUCCGUGCCAGCAGCCGCGGUAAUACGGAGGAUCCGAGCGUUAUCCGGCUUUAUUGGGUUUAAAGGGUGCGUAGGUGGUUUGAUAAGUCAGCGGUGAAAGUUUGCAGCUUAACUGUAAAAAUGCCGUUGAAACUGUCGGACUUGAGUGUAAAUGAGGUAGGCGGAAUGCGUGGUGUAGCGGUGAAAUGCAUAGAUAUCACGCAGAACUCCGAUUGCGAAGGCAGCUUACUAAGCUACAACUGACACUGAAGCACGAAAGCGUGGGGAUCAAACAGGAUUAGAAACCCUAGUAGUCC
This 445-nucleotide ribosomal RNA is filed under the name uncultured bacterium. Its description in RNAcentral is "partial 16S ribosomal RNA". It matches the Rfam family "Bacterial small subunit ribosomal RNA", at positions 354 to 796 of the family's 1533-position model. The record is from RNAcentral.